RNAcentral lists this ribosomal RNA (1333 nucleotides) under uncultured bacterium. RNAcentral describes it as "bacterial SSU rRNA". It matches the Rfam family "Bacterial small subunit ribosomal RNA", at positions 28 to 1381 of the family's 1533-position model. The record is from RNAcentral.
GACGAACGCUGGCGGCGCGCCUAACACAUGCAAGUCGAACGAGCAAGAGAGAGCUUGCUUUCUCAAGCGAGUGGCGAACGGGUGAGUAACGCGUGAGGAACCUGCCUCAAAGAGGGGGACAACAGUUGGAAACGACUGCUAAUACCGCAUAAGCCCACGACCCGGCAUCGGGUAGAGGGAAAAGGAGCAAUCCGCUUUGAGAUGGCCUCGCGUCCGAUUAGCUAGUUGGUGAGGUAACGGCCCACCAAGGCGACGAUCGGUAGCCGGACUGAGAGGUUGAACGGCCACAUUGGGACUGAGACACGGCCCAGACUCCUACGGGAGGCAGCAGUGGGGAAUAUUGCACAAUGGGGGAAACCUUGAUGCAGCGACGCCGCGUGGAGGAAGAAGGUCUUCGGAUUGUAAACUCCUGUUGUUGAGGAAGAUAAUGACGGUACUCAACAAGGAAGUGACGGCUAACUACGUGCCAGCAGCCGCGGUAAAACGUAGGUCACAAGCGUUGUCCGGAAUUACUGGGUGUAAAGGGAGCGCAGGCGGGAAGACAAGUUGGAAGUGAAAUCCAUGGGCUCAACCCAUGAACUGCUUUCAAAACUGUUUUUCUUGAGUAGUGCAGAGGUAGGCGGAAUUCCCGGUGUAGCGGUGGAAUGCGUAGAUAUCGGGAGGAACACCAGUGGCGAAGGCGGCCUACUGGGCACCAACUGACGCUGAGGCUCGAAAGUGUGGGUAGCAAACAGGAUUAGAUACCCUGGUAGUCCACACUGUAAACGAUGAUUACUAGGUGUUGGAGGAUUGACCCCUUCAGUGCCGCAGUUAACACAAUAAGUAAUCCACCUGGGGGAGUACGACCGCAAGGUUGAAACUCAAAGGAAUUGACGGGGGCCCGCACAAGCAGUGGAGUAUGUGGUUUAAUUCGACGCAACGCGAAGAACCUUACCAAGUCUUGACAUCCUGCGACGGUGCUGGAAACAGUACUUUCCUUCGGGACGCAGAGACAGGUGGUGCAUGGUUGUCGUCAGCUCGUGUCGUGAGAUGUUGGGUUAAGUCCCGCAACGAGCGCAACCCUUAUGGUCAGUUACUACGCAAGAGGACUCUGGCCAGACUGCCGUUGACAAAACGGAGGAAGGUGGGGAUGACGUCAAAUCAUCAUGCCCUUUAUGACUUGGGCUACACACGUACUACAAUGGCGUUAAACAAAGAGAAGCAAGACCGCGAGGUGGAGCAAAACUCAGAAACAACGUCCCAGUUCGGACUGCAGGCUGCAACUCGCCUGCACGAAGUCGGAAUUGCUAGUAAUCGCAGAUCAGCAUGCUGCGGUGAAUACGUUCCCGGGCCU